AGGCUAUCCAGAAAAGAGAUUAGAAAACCUGACACAGUCUCUGUUCUCAGAGUGCCAGACAAUUUUCAGCUAAUGAGCUUUAGGAAGAAUUUUAUUCCCUUGGAAAACUGUUUCAUGAGCAUCAACUCCAAAGCCUUCAUGUCAUGUAGAUGAAAAUACCCAGCCAACAGUGUCUUGCAAAAAGAUGUAAUUGGCAAAGUAACCUGGUGUGGUGGAUGGACCGGAGGCUUGGCAGUUACAGCAUUUAUGUCAUCAGAUCCCUUGACUUCUCCUUGACCAGUGUGCUUCCUUCUGUUUACACCUGAAAGCUAAGUGGAAAAGAAAUAAAUGAGCCUUCAAAUGUAAGGUAUGGUUGGAAACAAGGGAGCUGCUGCUUGAAGACUUCUACUUGUGUAGCUCUGUUUGUACUUUCCAUCAUGUGCUCCCUAGGCUUUGCAGUGAGCUUGCUUACCCAGUGCUUUUCCUUGCCCUAUUUAAAUG
Tympanuchus pallidicinctus (lesser prairie-chicken) is the source of this 480-nucleotide long non-coding RNA. RefSeq lists it as uncharacterized. The transcript is spliced from 3 exons. The record is from RefSeq and is a predicted model, not a curated record. NCBI's taxonomy places the organism in Eukaryota, Metazoa, Chordata, Aves, Galliformes, Phasianidae.